Molecule: ribosomal RNA, 2923 nt
Filed under: Staphylococcus aureus
Lineage: Bacteria; Bacillati; Bacillota; Bacilli; Caryophanales; Staphylococcaceae
Description: 23S ribosomal RNA
Rfam family: Bacterial large subunit ribosomal RNA
Source: RNAcentral
GAUUAAGUUAUUAAGGGCGCACGGUGGAUGCCUUGGCACUAGAAGCCGAUGAAGGACGUUACUAACGACGAUAUGCUUUGGGGAGCUGUAAGUAAGCUUUGAUCCAGAGAUUUCCGAAUGGGGAAACCCAGCAUGAGUUAUGUCAUGUUAUCGAUAUGUGAAUACAUAGCAUAUCAGAAGGCACACCCGGAGAACUGAAACAUCUUAGUACCCGGAGGAAGAGAAAGAAAAUUCGAUUCCCUUAGUAGCGGCGAGCGAAACGGGAAGAGCCCAAACCAACAAGCUUGCUUGUUGGGGUUGUAGGACACUCUAUACGGAGUUACAAAGGACGACAUUAGACGAAUCAUCUGGAAAGAUGAAUCAAAGAAGGUAAUAAUCCUGUAGUCGAAAAUGUUGUCUCUCUUGAGUGGAUCCUGAGUACGACGGAGCACGUGAAAUUCCGUCGGAAUCUGGGAGGACCAUCUCCUAAGGCUAAAUACUCUCUAGUGACCGAUAGUGAACCAGUACCGUGAGGGAAAGGUGAAAAGCACCCCGGAAGGGGAGUGAAAGAGAUCCUGAAACCGUGUGCUUACAAGUAGUCAGAGCCCGUUAAUGGGUGAUGGCGUGCCUUUUGUAGAAUGAACCGGCGAGUUACGAUUUGAUGCAAGGUUAAGCAGUAAAUGUGGAGCCGUAGCGAAAGCGAGUCUGAAUAGGGCGUUUAGUAUUUGGUCGUAGACCCGAAACCAGGUGAUCUACCCUUGGUCAGGUUGAAGUUCAGGUAACACUGAAUGGAGGACCGAACCGACUUACGUUGAAAAGUGAGCGGAUGAACUGAGGGUAGCGGAGAAAUUCCAAUCGAACCUGGAGAUAGCUGGUUCUCUCCGAAAUAGCUUUAGGGCUAGCCUCAAGUGAUGAUUAUUGGAGGUAGAGCACUGUUUGGACGAGGGGCCCCUCUCGGGUUACCGAAUUCAGACAAACUCCGAAUGCCAAUUAAUUUAACUUGGGAGUCAGAACAUGGGUGAUAAGGUCCGUGUUCGAAAGGGAAACAGCCCAGACCACCAGCUAAGGUCCCAAAAUAUAUGUUAAGUGGAAAAGGAUGUGGCGUUGCCCAGACAACUAGGAUGUUGGCUUAGAAGCAGCCAUCAUUUAAAGAGUGCGUAAUAGCUCACUAGUCGAGUGACACUGCGCCGAAAAUGUACCGGGGCUAAACAUAUUACCGAAGCUGUGGAUUGUCCUUUGGACAAUGGUAGGAGAGCGUUCUAAGGGCGUUGAAGCAUGAUCGCAAGGACAUGUGGAGCGCUUAGAAGUGAGAAUGCCGGUGUGAGUAGCGAAAGACGGGUGAGAAUCCCGUCCACCGAUUGACUAAGGUUUCCAGAGGAAGGCUCGUCCGCUCUGGGUUAGUCGGGUCCUAAGCUGAGGCCGACAGGCGUAGGCGAUGGAUAACAGGUUGAUAUUCCUGUACCACCUAUAAUCGUUUUAAUCGAUGGGGGGACGCAGUAGGAUAGGCGAAGCGUGCGAUUGGAUUGCACGUCUAAGCAGUAAGGCUGAGUAUUAGGCAAAUCCGGUACUCGUUAAGGCUGAGCUGUGAUGGGGAGAAGACAUUGUGUCUUCGAGUCGUUGAUUUCACACUGCCGAGAAAAGCCUCUAGAUAGAAAAUAGGUGCCCGUACCGCAAACCGACACAGGUAGUCAAGAUGAGAAUUCUAAGGUGAGCGAGCGAACUCUCGUUAAGGAACUCGGCAAAAUGACCCCGUAACUUCGGGAGAAGGGGUGCUCUUUAGGGUUAACGCCCAGAAGAGCCGCAGUGAAUAGGCCCAAGCGACUGUUUAUCAAAAACACAGGUCUCUGCUAAACCGUAAGGUGAUGUAUAGGGGCUGACGCCUGCCCGGUGCUGGAAGGUUAAGAGGAGUGGUUAGCUUCUGCGAAGCUACGAAUCGAAGCCCCAGUAAACGGCGGCCGUAACUAUAACGGUCCUAAGGUAGCGAAAUUCCUUGUCGGGUAAGUUCCGACCCGCACGAAAGGCGUAACGAUUUGGGCACUGUCUCAACGAGAGACUCGGUGAAAUCAUAGUACCUGUGAAGAUGCAGGUUACCCGCGACAGGACGGAAAGACCCCGUGGAGCUUUACUGUAGCCUGAUAUUGAAAUUCGGCACAGCUUGUACAGGAUAGGUAGGAGCCUUUGAAACGUGAGCGCUAGCUUACGUGGAGGCGCUGGUGGGAUACUACCCUAGCUGUGUUGGCUUUCUAACCCGCACCACUUAUCGUGGUGGGAGACAGUGUCAGGCGGGCAGUUUGACUGGGGCGGUCGCCUCCUAAAAGGUAACGGAGGCGCUCAAAGGUUCCCUCAGAAUGGUUGGAAAUCAUUCAUAGAGUGUAAAGGCAUAAGGGAGCUUGACUGCGAGACCUACAAGUCGAGCAGGGUCGAAAGACGGACUUAGUGAUCCGGUGGUUCCGCAUGGAAGGGCCAUCGCUCAACGGAUAAAAGCUACCCCGGGGAUAACAGGCUUAUCUCCCCCAAGAGUCCACAUCGACGGGGAGGUUUGGCACCUCGAUGUCGGCUCAUCGCAUCCUGGGGCUGUAGUCGGUCCCAAGGGUUGGGCUGUUCGCCCAUUAAAGCGGUACGCGAGCUGGGUUCAGAACGUCGUGAGACAGUUCGGUCCCUAUCCGUCGUGGGCGUAGGAAAUUUGAGAGGAGCUGUCCUUAGUACGAGAGGACCGGGAUGGACGCACCGCUGGUGUACCAGUUGUUCUGCCAAGGGCAUAGCUGGGUAGCUAUGUGCGGAAGGGAUAAGUGCUGAAAGCAUCUAAGCAUGAAGCCCCCCUCAAGAUGAGAUUUCCCAACUUCGGUUAUAAGAUCCCUCAAAGAUGAUGAGGUUAAUAGGUUCGAGGUGGAAGCAUGGUGACAUGUGGAGCUGACGAAUACUAAUCGAUCGAAGACUUAAUCAA